CUUGACCUCAAAUCGAGUAGGACUACCCGCUGAACUUAAGCAUAUCAAUAAGCGGAGGAAAAGAAACUAACAAGGAUUCCCCUAGUAACGGCGAGUGAAGAGGGAAGAGCUCAAAUUUUGAAUCUGGCGUCUUYGGCGUCCGAAUUGUAAUCUAGAGAAGUGUUUUCCGUGACGGACCGUGCAUAAGUCUCCUGGAAUGGAGUGUCAUAGAGGGUGAGAAUCCCGUAUAUGGCACGGACUCCCGUUGCUCUGCGAUACACUCUCGACGAGUCGAGUUGUUUGGGAAUGCAGCUCUAAAUGGGUGGUAAAUGCCAUCUAAAGCUAAAUAUUGGCGAGAGACCGAUAGCGAACAAGUACCGUGAGGGAAAGAUGAAAAGCACUUUGGAAAGAGAGUGAAACAGUACGUGAAAUUGUUGAAAGGGAAACGCUUGAAGUCAGUCGCGCCGUUCGGGAUUCAGCCUUGCUUCUGCUUGGUUUACUUCCCGUUGGGUGGGUCAACAUCAGUUUCGGUCGGAGGAGAAAGGCUUGGGGAAGGUGGCAGCAUUCGUGCUGUGUUAUAGCCCCUUGUUGUAUACUUCGACUGGGACUGAGGACCGCAGCACGCCUUUGGCCGGGGUUCGCCCACGUACGUGCUUAGGAUGUUGGCAUAAUGGCUUUAAGCGACCCGUCUUGAAACACGG
Molecule: ribosomal RNA, 680 nt
Filed under: uncultured endomycorrhiza of Neottia nidus-avis
Lineage: Eukaryota; Fungi; Basidiomycota; Agaricomycetes; Sebacinales; Sebacinaceae
Description: eukaryotic LSU rRNA
Rfam family: Eukaryotic large subunit ribosomal RNA
Source: RNAcentral